This 140-nucleotide unclassified non-coding RNA is filed under the name uncultured Pleosporales. RNAcentral's name for it is "sequence contains ITS1". Lineage: Eukaryota; Fungi; Ascomycota; Dothideomycetes; Pleosporales. The record is from RNAcentral.
UUGUAGGGCUUCAGCCCUGUUGAGAUAACACCCUUGCCUUUUUGAGUACUGUCUGUUUCCUCAGCAGGCCCGCCUGCCAAUAGGGACAACCAAAACGCCCUGAAGCACCUGUAACUUGUCUGAUAAAACAAACAAAAUCA